Molecule: unclassified non-coding RNA, 201 nt
Filed under: Hevea brasiliensis (rubber tree)
Lineage: Eukaryota; Viridiplantae; Streptophyta; Magnoliopsida; Malpighiales; Euphorbiaceae
Source: RNAcentral
UUGGCUAUCAUCUUUCAUAGCUACAAUUACAGACAUUUGAUGCACCCUUAUAUCGUUUUAGCACUAUAUUGCUCGCACACAUACCUUGAAUUAGAAAUUGUGCUAGCCAUAACUGCUAACCCAGCUCGAGCACUCCUUGGUUUCGAGCUCGAUCCACAGUUCAACUAGCUUUACCUUUCCUCCUCACUGCAAGACUUGUGG